Molecule: transfer RNA, 121 nt
Filed under: Fusarium oxysporum f. sp. vasinfectum
Lineage: Eukaryota; Fungi; Ascomycota; Sordariomycetes; Hypocreales; Nectriaceae
Also listed under: 1 other name
Description: tRNA-Cys
Rfam family: tRNA
About the family: Transfer RNA (tRNA) molecules are approximately 80 nucleotides in length. Their secondary structure includes four short double-helical elements and three loops (D, anti-codon, and T loops). Further hydrogen bonds mediate the characteristic L-shaped molecular structure. tRNAs have two regions of fundamental functional importance: the anti-codon, which is responsible for specific mRNA codon recognition, and the 3' end, to which the tRNAs corresponding amino acid is attached (by aminoacyl-tRNA synthetases). tRNAs cope with the degeneracy of the genetic code in two manners: having more than one tRNA (with a specific anti-codon) for a particular amino acid; and 'wobble' base-pairing, i.e. permitting non-standard base-pairing at the 3rd anti-codon position.
Source: RNAcentral
UGCCGGGUGGUGUAGUGGUAACAUACCUACCUACAUCCCUCACGUCUCCGUCCCGGCGGAUCGUUCUGUAGCAAGCUACAGAGGGUGGUAGGGGUUGGGGGUUCGAUUCCUCCCCUGGCAA